RNAcentral lists this ribosomal RNA (400 nucleotides) under phytoplankton environmental sample. Its description in RNAcentral is "partial small subunit ribosomal RNA". It matches the Rfam family "Eukaryotic small subunit ribosomal RNA", at positions 587 to 979 of the family's 1831-position model. The record is from RNAcentral.
AGCUCCAGUAGCGUAUAUUAAAGUUGUUGCAGUUAAAAAGCUCGUAGUUGGAUCUCGGGUUGCUCUUGGGGGUUCUGGUCCUUACGGGGCCUGUCUACUCUCAGGAGUACCUAAACGGCGGGCUCUCUGACAUGGGUGCCCUUAACUGGGUCGCCCACGUCACCCGCUCCAUUUACUUUGAAAAAAUUAGAGUGUUCAAGGCAGGUGCUAAAACCUGAAUAAUGGUGCAUGGAAUAAUAGAAUAGGAUCUCGGUUCUAUUUUGUUGGUUUUCGGAACUAGAGAUAAUGAUUAAGAGGGACAGACGGGGGCAUUUGUAUUGCGGUGUUAGAGGUGAAAUUCUUGGAUCGCCGCAAGACGAACUACUGCGAAAGCAUUUGCCAAGAAUGUUUUCAUUAAUCA